Molecule: ribosomal RNA, 301 nt
Filed under: uncultured bacterium
Lineage: Bacteria
Description: partial 16S ribosomal RNA
Rfam family: Bacterial small subunit ribosomal RNA
Source: RNAcentral
CAGCAGCCGCGGUAAUACGGAGGAUCCGAGCGUUAUCCCGAAUUAUUGGGUUUAAAGGGUGCGUAGGCGGAUAGAUAAGUCAGUGGUGAAAGACGGUGGCUCAACCAUCGCAGUGCCGUUGAUACUGUUUAUCUUGAAUAUGGAUGAGGUAGGCGGAAUGUGGCAAGUAGCGGUGAAAUGCAUAGAUAUGCCACAGAACACCGAUUGCGGAGGCAGCUUACCAAGGCAAAAUUGACGCUGAGGCACGAAAGCGUGGGGAUCGAACAGGAUUAGAUACCCCGGUAGUCCCUGUCUCUUAUAC